GGAGAAGUACCCAAGAGGUCGAAGGGGCUCCCCUGCUAAGGGAGUAGCACUGUUAAAGGUGGCCCGGGUUCAAAUCCCGGCUUCUCCGCCA
RNAcentral lists this transfer RNA (91 nucleotides) under Clostridiales bacterium. RNAcentral describes it as "tRNA-Ser". It matches the Rfam family "tRNA". Rfam says of the family: Transfer RNA (tRNA) molecules are approximately 80 nucleotides in length. Lineage: Bacteria; Bacillati; Bacillota; Clostridia; Eubacteriales. The record is from RNAcentral.